This 253-nucleotide ribosomal RNA is filed under the name uncultured bacterium. Its description in RNAcentral is "partial 16S ribosomal RNA". It matches the Rfam family "Bacterial small subunit ribosomal RNA", at positions 524 to 776 of the family's 1533-position model. The record is from RNAcentral.
UACAGAGGUGGCAAGCGUUGUUCGGAAUUACUGGGCGUAAAGGGCGCGUAGGCGGCCUUUCAAGUCCUGUGUGAAAUCCCUCGGCUCAACUGAGGAAUUGCACGGGAAACUGUUUGGCUUGAGUUCGGGAGAGGGAAGCGGAAUUCCGGGUGUAGCGGUGAAAUGCGUAGAUAUCGGGAGGAACACCUGUGGCGAAAGCGGCUCACUGGACCAUUACUGACGCUGAGGCUCGAAAGCUAGGGGAGCAAACAGG